CAGUCGCCGCGGUAAUACGGAGGGUGCAAGCGUUAAUCGGAAUUACUGGGCGUAAAGCGUGCGUAGGCGGUUCGUUAAGUCUGUUGUGAAAGCCCCGGGCUCAACCUGGGAAUGGCAAUGGAUACUGGCGAACUAGAGUGUGUCAAAGGAUGGUGGAAUUCCCGGUGUAGCGGUGAAAUGCGUAGAGAUCGGGAGGAACAUCAGUGGCGAAGGCGGCCAUCUGGGACAACACUGACGCUGAGGCACGAAAGCGUGGGGAGCAAACAGGAUUAGAUACCCCGGUAGUCCCUGUCUCUUAUAC
RNAcentral lists this ribosomal RNA (301 nucleotides) under uncultured bacterium. Its description in RNAcentral is "partial 16S ribosomal RNA". It matches the Rfam family "Bacterial small subunit ribosomal RNA", at positions 509 to 807 of the family's 1533-position model. The record is from RNAcentral.